UUGGUAUUUAUGUUAAUGGUAGAUUGAUGAUAAUGAUGAGGACCUUAUGUUUUCUAUGAAGCCUUUUUAAAGUCACAUUUAGGAUGAGCGUGUUAAUCAUGGUAGCACCACCCAUAUACAUAUUGGAGGGCCCUAAUGGAGGAAGUAUAUAUACUUAAUAGUUAAUAACUUAAUAUUUAUGGACUAUGUGCAUAUAUAAUAUUAAAAUUUAGAACUAAUAUCAGUUCACAGUUCCAACUAAUUCGGAGGAAGCACAAUUCGCUUUUAAUAUACUAAGGGAUGACUUAUUUUGCCUCUAUCAGUGUUUGCAUGGUAACGGUUGUUACGGUUUUAUAACGAUUAUAUUGUAAUCUGUAUCGUACGUUCUCAACCUCACAAAACAAAUUUAUCCUAAUUUCGGCUAA
RNAcentral lists this long non-coding RNA (404 nucleotides) under Brassica napus (rape). RNAcentral describes it as "long non-coding RNA (BNAP_LNC006070)". Lineage: Eukaryota; Viridiplantae; Streptophyta; Magnoliopsida; Brassicales; Brassicaceae. The record is from RNAcentral.